GAUGAACGCUAGCGGCAGGCCUAACACAUGCAAGUCGAGGGAGAAGCCUUUCGGGGCAGAAACCGGCGCACGGGUGCGUAACGCGUAUGCAACCUACCUUUCACAGGGGGAUAGCCCGAAGAAAUUUGGAUUAAUACCCCAUAAUAUUGUUGGAUGGCAUCAUCUGAUAAUUAAAACUGUGGUGGUGAAAGAUGGGCAUGCGUCCUAUUAGCUAGUUGGAGUGGUAACGGCACCCCAAGGCUACGAUAGGUAGGGGUCCUGAGAGGGAGAUCCCCCACACUGGUACUGAGACAGGGACCAGACUCCUACGGGAGGCAGCAGUGAGGAAUAUUGGUCAAUGGUCGGAAGACUGAACCAGCCAUGCCGCGUGCAGGAAGAAUGCCUUAUGGGUUGUAAACUGCUUUUAUAUGGGAAGAAUAAGGUGUACGUGUACAUUGAAG
This 440-nucleotide ribosomal RNA is filed under the name Capnocytophaga granulosa. RNAcentral's name for it is "bacterial SSU rRNA". It matches the Rfam family "Bacterial small subunit ribosomal RNA", at positions 28 to 471 of the family's 1533-position model. Lineage: Bacteria; Pseudomonadati; Bacteroidota; Flavobacteriia; Flavobacteriales; Flavobacteriaceae. The record is from RNAcentral.